This 587-nucleotide ribosomal RNA is filed under the name Enterocytozoon bieneusi. RNAcentral's name for it is "SSU rRNA". It matches the Rfam family "Microsporidia small subunit ribosomal RNA", at positions 304 to 897 of the family's 1311-position model. Lineage: Eukaryota; Fungi; Microsporidia; Enterocytozoonidae. The record is from RNAcentral.
CCACUCCUUACGGGGGAGACAGUCAUGAGACGUGAGUAUAAGACCUGAGUGUAAAGACCUUAGGGUGAAGCAAUUGGAGGGCAAGCUUUGGUGCCAGCAGCCGCGGUAACUCCAACUCCAAGAGUGUCUAUGGUGGAUGCUGCAGUUAAAGGGUCCGUAGUCGUGAAUGCAAUUAAAUGUCGUUGUUCAAUAGCGAUGAGUUUGCUAAUGUUUGCGGAACGGAUAGGGAGUGUAGUAUAGACUGGCGAAGAAUGAAAUCUCAAGACCCAGUUUGGACUAACGGAGGCGAAGGCGACACUUUUAGACGUAUCUUAGGAUCAAGGACGAAGGCAGGAGUAUCGAAAGUGAUUAGACACCGCUGUAGUUCCUGCAGUAAACUAUGCCGACAGCCUGUGUGUGAGAAUACGUGGGCGGGAGAAAUCUUAGUGUUCGGGCUCUGGGGAUAGUACGCUCGCAAGGGUGAAACUUAAAGCGAAAUUGACGGAAGGACACUACCAGGAGUGGAUUGUGCUGCUUAAUUUAACUCAACGCGGGAAAACUUACCAGGGUCAAGUCAUUCGUUGAUCGAAUACGUGAGAAUGGCAGGA